GCCUCGUUAGCUCAGUUGGUAGAGCAGAAGACUCUUAAUCUUUUGGUCCUUGGUUCGAGUCCAAGACGGGGUACCA
This 76-nucleotide transfer RNA is filed under the name Haloferula rosea. Its description in RNAcentral is "tRNA-Lys". It matches the Rfam family "tRNA". From Rfam's summary of the family: Transfer RNA (tRNA) molecules are approximately 80 nucleotides in length. Their secondary structure includes four short double-helical elements and three loops (D, anti-codon, and T loops). Further hydrogen bonds mediate the characteristic L-shaped molecular structure. tRNAs have two regions of fundamental functional importance: the anti-codon, which is responsible for specific mRNA codon recognition, and the 3' end, to which the tRNAs corresponding amino acid is attached (by aminoacyl-tRNA synthetases). tRNAs cope with the degeneracy of the genetic code in two manners: having more than one tRNA (with a specific anti-codon) for a particular amino acid; and 'wobble' base-pairing, i.e. permitting non-standard base-pairing at the 3rd anti-codon position. Lineage: Bacteria; Pseudomonadati; Verrucomicrobiota; Verrucomicrobiia; Verrucomicrobiales; Verrucomicrobiaceae. The record is from RNAcentral. RNAcentral also lists the same sequence under 5 other names.